This is a non-coding RNA of Microcebus murinus (gray mouse lemur), 517 nucleotides long. The record is from RefSeq and is a predicted model, not a curated record. NCBI's taxonomy places the organism in Eukaryota, Metazoa, Chordata, Mammalia, Primates, Cheirogaleidae.
GAGAGCCUCUGCAAGCACAUGUGAGCGAUCUCUCAAGACUCAGGUCAAGAAGUCUCCGGCUCACCCUCCUGUCCCAACACUCAGUGCCUGACACUGGGCCCCCAGGGCUUUCUGAUCAAGAGCGGGGAGGACAGCCAGCCAAAGCGGGCGGCUGAGGUCAAGUGGAGUAAUUAAUCCUAAAGGUUACCGGUGCCUGUCCUGCUGGGGAGCAGGAAUCCAAUUACCCACAGUGACAGCAGCUCGUCCCUGCCAGGCACAGACCUCAGCUGACCAAGACGUUGCCACAGUGCCUGGGUUGUGAUGCAAAGGAGUGAAUUCCGGAAGGCUGGACCAGGACAGCUUCCAGAGGUCUCCCAGAAAGACCCCAUUUCCCCUGGACAAACAAAGACCAGAAAAACUGGUCAUUUUGCCAGGGGGAGCCAGACCUAUAUGAUACAGCAAAAGCAGAAGGGAAAGAGAGGGAAUCAGAGAAUCUAAAUGAGUUUGUCUAUUAAAUAAAUAUGCAAAAUUAUGCAGA